GUUUCUGCAGAGGAGGCAAGAGACAGACAGAGCUCAGAGCGAUAUAGCUAAAUUACUAACACUAUAUCCUGGUUUGUUUAACCUCCGAGGAGUCAAAUGGGGCAACUCAAAGUUCGUCAUACAGUUUACCGAAGACGAGUUCAUUCCAUUUGCGUGGAGGGUUUGGGAGUAGCUGACACACACAAAGUGGUGGAAGAACUCAGCUAGCCAGGUAGCAUCUGUGGAAAGGAAUGAACAGUUGACAUUUUGGGAAGAGACCCUUCUUCAGAUGUGCUGUUCCCAUUAUCAGUUUGGCCACAGAACAACACCGUCAAGAGCAAUGUGCCACUUUUAAUAAGCAGCCACUUGGAGAUAAAAUGAUCAAUCGACGAUUAACAACACAAGAGGUUCUGCAGAUCCUGGACAUCCACAGUAACAUAGUCAUAGUCAUAGUCAUACUUUAUUAAUCCCGGGGGAAGUUGGUUUUCAUUACAGUUGCUCCAUAAAUAAUAAAUAGUCAUAGAACCAUAAAUAGUUAAAUAGUAAUAUGUAAAUUAUGAAAUAAGUCCAGGACCAGCCUAUUGGUUCAAGGUGUCUGACCCUCCAAGGGAGGAGUUGUAAAGUUUGAUGGCCACAGGCAGGAAUGACUUCCUAUGAUGCUCUGCGUUGCAUCUCGGU
Long non-coding RNA from Mobula hypostoma (lesser devil ray), 657 nucleotides. RefSeq lists it as uncharacterized. The record is from RefSeq and is a predicted model, not a curated record. NCBI's taxonomy places the organism in Eukaryota, Metazoa, Chordata, Chondrichthyes, Myliobatiformes, Myliobatidae. The transcript has 3 exons.